CCUACGGGCGGCAGCAGUGAGGAAUAUUGGUCAAUGGGCGAGAGCCUGAACCAGCCAAGUCGCGUGAGGGAGUACUGCCCUAUGGGUUGUAAACCUCUUUUGUCGGGGAGCAAAAGCCGGACGUGUCCGGCUGUGAGAGUACCCGAAGAAAAAGCAUCGGCUAACUCCGUGCCAGCAGCCGCGGUAAUACGGAGGAUGCGAGCGUUAUCCGGAUUUAUUGGGGUUAAAGGGUGCGCAGGCGGAUUUUUAAGUCAGCGGUCAAAUCGUGGGGCUCAACCCCAUCCAGCCGUUGAAACUGGGGAUCUAGAGUGUGCGAGAGGUAUGCGGAAUGCGUGGUGUAGCGGUGAAAUGCAUAGAUAUCACGCAGAACCCCGAUUGCGAGGGCAGCAUACCGGUGCACAACUGACGCUCAGGCACGAAAGCGUGGGUAUCGAACAGGAUUAGAUACCCUGGUAGUC
This 458-nucleotide ribosomal RNA is filed under the name uncultured bacterium. RNAcentral's name for it is "partial 16S ribosomal RNA". It matches the Rfam family "Bacterial small subunit ribosomal RNA", at positions 338 to 795 of the family's 1533-position model. The record is from RNAcentral.